Molecule: transfer RNA, 59 nt
Filed under: Bos taurus (domestic cattle)
Lineage: Eukaryota; Metazoa; Chordata; Mammalia; Artiodactyla; Bovidae
Also listed under: 2 other names
Rfam family: tRNA
About the family: Transfer RNA (tRNA) molecules are approximately 80 nucleotides in length.
Source: Rfam by way of RNAcentral
UGGCUUAGAGGGUAAAAAGCAUUUGCCUGCAAUGCAGGAGACCCGGGUUCGAUCCCUGG